UACGGAGGGUGCAAGCGUUAAUCGGAAUUACUGGGCGUAAAGCGCACGCAGGUGGCUGAGUCAGUCGAUUGUGAAAGCCCUGGGCUUAACCUGGGAAUUGCAGUCGAUACUACUCAGCUAGAGUAUGGGAGAGGGCAGUGGAAUUCCCGGUGUAGCGGUGAAAUGCGUAGAUAUCGGGAGGAAUACCGGUGGUGAAGACGGCUCUCUGGGCCGCCACUGACGCUGAGACACGAAAGCGUGGGUAGCAAACAGG
Molecule: ribosomal RNA, 253 nt
Filed under: uncultured bacterium
Lineage: Bacteria
Description: partial 16S ribosomal RNA
Rfam family: Bacterial small subunit ribosomal RNA
Source: RNAcentral